Molecule: long non-coding RNA, 3142 nt
Organism: Falco peregrinus (peregrine falcon)
Lineage: Eukaryota; Metazoa; Chordata; Aves; Falconiformes; Falconidae
Exons: 3
Source: RefSeq, a predicted model, not a curated record
UGCAUGUAACAGACAGUGAAUAAUUCUGCCAUUUUCGGCUGUUGUGGCCUUGCAAAAUGAGUUCCUGAAAAAUGAAUAUUUACACAGUCAGCAUCCAACAGAAAGGAUCCUUCUCAGUCCCUGUAAACUAGAAUUCUGUUUAUUUUUUCUUGUAUUGGUUUGUUUAAAUGACAAAAUUUACUUAGGAAUGACAGUUAAAAUGAUGUUGCACGAGGAAAACUGUGGCCAUUUUAUGUGAAGAAGGGAAAUACAGCCACAAAGAAGAAUACACUGUACAUUGAUGAUGCUAGUUGUACUUCACAAGGAACUUCUUAGUACUGGCUGUCUUCAACUGCAGCUGAAGUCCUGUACACUGAAAACUUUUGGACUUCUAUUCCUUCCAUAUCUACAAUAAGGAACACAAAGACUGAGUUGACUUGUGGCAAGCAGUAACGAAACUGCAGCAGAUGUAUUCAUGCUCUCCCUGUAUGCCUGGGCCUCCUGUUAAACCUGAAACCUUGUCUUCCUUCACCGUGAUCCUGCUAGGAACUUGCUAUUAUGGACUCUCCAAGGAUAAAAGAGACAAGUCACGGAUAUAUACAAAUAGCUAAGGAAAUAUGCCUUAGACAUAGUGCUACAUUAAAGAAAUAAAAAGAAGUGUCACUAAGAGGAAGAACGGACAUGCAGCAUUUCCACGGCAAAUAGCGUGCUGCUCCUUUAGCAGAAGUGAGCUUGGAGGAAUAUGCUCUCUGCCUCUGUUCUACAGUUUUCUCUGUUUUCUCCCUGAGUGCACUCACACUAUGAAAAAUGGGUGAUACCUUUUUUGUGCUACGUCUUUACUCCUCCUGUAUAUUCAGAAAAAGACCUGUUUGCCCUCAGUAUGAUGACAAAGUAUGUUAACAAAGCAGCAUCACAGAGGUGUGAAAGAGAAAGGCAUAAAAGCAUGAAGAGCUCCAGAGGCAUUUCUGAAUUCAAUCUGCAGUAGUGAUUGAAAAGUGGCAAGAAAGAAUUCUCUUCAAAGGUCUAACAGAAACUGCGGCAAAAUGCUGGUAGCAUUUUUGAUUCACUGAAGGCUGUGGGUAAACAAAAGUAUUUCCCAUACCUUGAGGAAGCUCAGGAGGUGUUGGCAUAUUUUUCCAGUCUAAAGUAAAGCAAGAGUCUCACUUAAUAUUGUGUAUGUUUAAGAUAACAGACUGUUCUUCAUUUAGAAAGAUGAAAUUCUUUAUCACAAGUCCUUUUAAAAAGAGUAAAAUUAUCUUAUCAGAAGUAUAUUUGAUAUUUUUAAGCUUAAGCAGCCAUCAGUAGAAAUUAAUCUGACCAGUUUCUCCACAACACUUUUUAUGCCAUACACUGAUCUUUUGGGGUCUCCAUUAAGAGUAGCUGUUGUGGUUUUCUAACAGUGGCUACCAUAAUAUUAUAAUAACAAAUCUAUAAUGCACACCUUGUGGAGGUGAAACAGCAACAUAAGGUGUUUCUGGUCUUAGUAUCUCCUUUACAAUGUUGUUUCAUUUUUUUUUCUGUCCUCAGGUAGCAAUCUGGGUGUAGCUGCACUGCCCAAGAAGCUUAUCUAUAUAUACAGAGGUCACGUGUCAUGUGCAGUGAUGCCUGUUGUCUCUACACCUCCCUGGAACAGUCAAGGCACAGCAAGGGAGGGGACAGGGAGAACGAGGGCUGGAGUGGAAUGGGAAUUCAAUUACCUUUCUUUUGUAGACCCAACCUCAUCAUAAAAACUGGUCUGAUAAUUUUAGCUUUAAUCAUCCCUAUCUGAACUCUCUUUGAUGUUAAAGAUGGGUUACUCAUGGCCCUUUCUUGUCAUAUUGCUGGCAAGCAUCACUAAAUCAGGUAGCAAGAUGCAGACCUUUCAGGAAACCCAGACAUGGAGAGAACAGUUUUUUCCAGCCCUUGAAAGUACAUGUGAUUGAUCUGUUUGCUGUACAAUUCCCCAGCCCCAGGCUAGGGAUAAAAUUUCUUAGAAGAGAGGCAAACUAAAUCAAUUCUCUUCUGUUGCUUGAGUAAAGUUGGUCAAUAGCUGAUAUUUUAAAGCACCUCCAUCAACAAUUUAUGAGAUUUAUUCAGUUUAUGCGAAAGAGCACUCCAUAAUCAUCAGUACACAGUGAUGGCCCAACAGGGUGUUGCUAACUGGAUAUCAUUUAAUAAAAGUUUUUCAAGUGCUCAGCAUGCUUUCAUCAGAGGGUGAUUUUUGUUUUUAUCCUUGUUUUGUAUGAACAUUAGGAGGUAAUCAAGAAGUUAUAAAAGUUGAUGAUUUAUGAAGCUCUUGAAGUGGUGGGUGAAAUUGUAGGCUGGAUGUAAUGCUCAUAUUGAUCACACUGUUGGUAAAAGCACGAUAAGACUGUUGACUGAAAGUACUAUUAAAAUAAAUUUUAUGACAGGUUGUUAAAUAGAGAUUUAGUAUUAUUUUCAUAACUGGAUUUUGGUUAAUAGAGGUCUUGGUCAACAGUGGAGUGCACAGUGUUGGUAGAGGCAUAAACCUCACAAAUAUUACCAAAACUGGUGGAUAGUCCUGGAGUGUUUUCAGAAUUAGGAACGUAGUUAGGUAGUUACCAAAUCUCCUACACCGGUUCUUCAGUUUCUUAGAUUGACAGAAGUAUUCUUGUCUCUUACACUAACCUUUUGAAAUUUUUGUUCAAUGAUCAUGGGUUCUACCCUUCUGCUCCUUUGAUACCUCAGUCUCCUCUUGCUUUGUAGAUAAUUUUUUAUACAAUUCUUCUACUGUUUUUUCCUUUUCCUUUUCUCACAUCCUGAGACUACUUUGAUUAUUGCCUUUCUUGUUCCAGUUUUGAAAACAGAAUGGAAAACAAAAUCAUGAUUUGUCUUUUUGCAUAUGUAGCCUCAUACCUGUUCGUUCCUUUAGCACUUUACCCACUAUAUGGAUAAGACAUGUUGGAAGUACUUUCCAAACCUACAGGUGUUGGUGUGUCUCUAUUCAAAGGUUUGGUUCCAAAAAACCACAGAAAGAACAGACUGGAAAUAUUUUCUAUAAGCCUGUUACAUACACAGGAAUUCUACUGUAUAUUAAAACUAGACUAAAUUUGUGAUUAAAGAGUAAGAAUAAUAUUUAUGUGUGUUGCUGUUACACUUUAAAUAUAUUAUAUAGUCUGUCCUGAAGCAUGUAAAUAAGUACAAAAGAUUAAAAAGUAAAUUA